CCGAGAGCAGAGACCAGAGACCAGAGACCAGAGAGAAAGCCAAAGCAGAAGCUUCGAUCAACACAGCAAGUGAGAGAAAACCAGAAAUCGAGCCAAAACAGAGGUCGAGAGAGAGAGAGAGAGAGAGAGAGAGAGAAAUUCCUCAAACCCAGACCAGAGUCGCGACGUUAGACCAAGCACUAGAAGUCAGUCGCGACUUCGACGAAUACAGAGAGGGCUGUCGCGACUCCGGAGAAGCCCAGAAAGACCUUCGUGGCGUCAGAGAAGACCAGUGAAGACUUCAAACAGCAAGCGGGAAUGAAGAGAAAGAACUUCAAAUGAUCAAGGCCAGACCUAGGGUUUCGGACGUGGCUCUGAUACCAUCAACUGAUGAUCACUUCGAUGUCUAAAAAGCUAUGCUGGCAGAUCCGGGAAAAAUGGCCCACCUGAGAUACGACCAUCCAUUGAGAAUAAAACAAUCCACACAUGGGGGAAAGUAGCAUCUUCUUCUGGAAGUUGUGUAGUGGAACAGAUUAGCGUUAUUAGGACAAGAGUGCUUCCAUUGAUUCAGCAAUUGGUCACGUUGUCUCACUGAUAAACCAUAUUUGCGAGAUCAUGAUCAUGUCACGGUCAUUUUCAAACCAAAAGAACUUGUAUAUCCUAAGCAUCAUCUGACAUUCAUUCUUAUCAUUUGAAUGAAUUUUUUUAAUUGCUGAAA
Non-coding RNA from Camellia sinensis, 697 nucleotides. The record is from RefSeq and is a predicted model, not a curated record. Lineage: Eukaryota; Viridiplantae; Streptophyta; Magnoliopsida; Ericales; Theaceae.